RNAcentral lists this ribosomal RNA (429 nucleotides) under uncultured bacterium. RNAcentral describes it as "bacterial SSU rRNA". It matches the Rfam family "Bacterial small subunit ribosomal RNA", at positions 355 to 776 of the family's 1533-position model. The record is from RNAcentral.
UGGGGAAUAUUGGACAAUGGGGGCAACCCUGAUCCAGCCAUGCCGCGUGUGUGAAGAAGGCCUUCGGGUUGUAAAGCACUUUCAGUGGGGAGAAAGGGGUAGUAGUUAAUAGCUAUUAUCAUUGAUGUUACCCACAGAAGCAGCACCGGCUAACUCCGUGCCAGCAGCCGCGGUAAUACGGAGGGUGCAAGCGUUAAUCGGAAUUACUGGGCGUAAAGCGCGCGUAGGCGGUUUGGUCAGUUGGAUGUGAAAGCCCCGGGCUCAACUUGGGAACUGCAUUCAAUACUGCCAGGCUAGAGUACGGUAGAGGGAGGUAGAAUUCCAUGUGUAGCGGUGAAAUGCGUAGAGAUGUGGAGGAAUACCAGUGGCGAAGGCGGCCUCCUGGAUCGAUACUGACGCUGAGGUGCGAAAGCGUGGGGAGCAAACAGG